AGUGGGCCAAGACUAGAUGCUCAUCAACGUAUGGAUGGAUGGUGCGUCUACACAAUGGCGUUUUAUGGGACCCUAAAGCAAACUGAAAUCAUGACAUUUGCAGGUAAAUGAGUGGAACUGGAGAUUGCUGUGUUGAAGGCGGUAGACACAGAAGGACAAACACCUCAUGUUUUCUCUCACAUAUGAUGUAGAUUUUGAUUGUUACCCAACCAGGAAAGCGAUCAUGAGAGUGGGAAAAGGAGCUCUUGGGUUGGAGGUGAGAAGAGAAACUAAAAAGUCAAGAGAACACAUGUGGCAAAAAAUGAGAAGAGGGACUCCUGAGGGAGGAAGCCAGCGGAGCAGGGAUCAGAGUCCAGGCUUUCCAGACUGUACUGAGGUGGCCUAAGUGACCAAUGCAAACACUGUGAUGGCUAUUCAACACGUGAAGCCCAACGCUGUGACAUCAUUUGGACACCAUGCACACUACUAACUUGAGGGUAAUCAGAGCUGCGGACUGAUGGAGUGGAAAGAGUGCUGGGCAGAGGGCCAGAGUCUCAGAGUUCAAGCUUGUUGCUGUAACAUUCGCCAGCUCUGCAUCCUCAGCAAAGAAAUUGCCCGAGUCUUGGAAUCUCUGGAUGACGGACAUGGCCAAUGCUCCUGGCUUCACAUGAAGACGAAAUCAGACCUUAAAUUUUCAUUCGGCAUUCUGUCUGCAGGUUCCUGAUUAUGAAGCUGGAAAUACAUGUGGAGGAUCCUUGACAUGCCCGCUCUGAGCCAUGCCUCCACUCACGGGCCCUGUUUUGACUUCAGGUUUAAAGUCCAGCUGAGUGACUCUCUGUGUUUUCACCAUGGGGCUGCGUCUUUCUUCAAUAUCCAGCUGAGCAGAAAGAAGCAAUGUCCGUCUCUGCAAUCUGUUCUAGUGCAGACACCCGCGACAGGCGACGUCAUCAACUACUUUAGCGUUUCAAGACAAGAAGAGAGAAACAUCUGGGAAGGAAGAGCAUGACAACAUCAGCCUCUGAGGUUUGCAGCCUAGUGUGUCAGCCAUGAUGACUGCAAUCUCUGCUAAAGUUACCAGAAAUAGAUUUCAACUCACAGUGCAGUUUCUCCAUUAGAGCAUUCCGUUUCUAAUGCUCCAUUACCCAGCAAGUGGAAUGCCACCAGAGAAGGAGGUAGAGUCAGCACCAAGCAUCAAAGAAAGAAGAGCAUCUCCCGUGAGUACACACAAAGAAGGAUUGUAUAGUGCUCACUGCAAGCUAACAGGUCAGAUAAGUGAGUUGACUCAUUACUGAAGUGCGAGUUUGUAAACUUCGACUGUGUGGUGGAGCACAGCAGACAGCAGACCAAAGCAAAUUCACAUUCCAGAACUUCCUCAGCCACAGGCUGGAUCUGCUGCCCUGAAAUGGGUGCUUUCGUUUUCUAGGUUCUGCUUUUCUCUUCUGUAAAGUCGUGUGGCUGAUCUCAAAGGUUCUUUCCAGCUCAGGAUCUCUAUGUUUCUAAGCAAGGAACCACGUGCUUUACUGCAAACUCAAGAGCCAGUCAUAAGGGCAAGACACCUUUCACUCUUACUGUCUGCAAAGUCAUACGGAAACAAAAUGAGUAAAAGUGUUCCUUCUAGAAUAAAGCAGAAAGUGCCCUCAUAUGCCUCUGUGGGGAGCAUGACUGUAUUUUGACUCUUUGGCACAUGUAAUUUUUAAAAAAGUUGGGACUCACAUCAUAAAUAAUGUUGAAUGGAGCUUACCAACAUCCAUACAGAAGUACCUAGCAACUUUUCAUGACUGCACUGGGGGAUUCCUUACAUCAAAGACACAUCGUAUUUAUCUCAACAAAGAUACUGGAUGAGAACUUGAAAUGAAUAUGUUAAGCAAUGAGUAGUUUUCAGUCACAAUCCCUGUAAAAACAAAUUUGGGGAAAUUACCAAGCAACAUAUGUGAGGCCAGAGAGAUGCAUUGCUGACUUCUUUUUGUUUACCUGCUAGUAGAGUAUGUUUUAAAUAUUCAUUAAAUUAUUUAAUAUAGGACUUUGAUUAUUAACCUCCAACAAAUAGCUACAUCUUAAAAAUUAAAAUUACAGCUAAGCUCUGGCCUUCAUGUGGGUCUGGAACAACUGGAAUGGAGGCUAUGCAAAAUCUGUUGCCUGUAUGUGGAAUAUGUUGUACUACCUGGGCUACAUUGUGAGUCCUCUGUGGAAGAAGUGCCUAGCCUCAAAGACAUGAAGUGCCAUUGUUGGAGGUCAGGUAUACCCAGGGGGUCCUACCCACUCAGAAGAG
Molecule: small RNA, 2248 nt
Filed under: Rattus norvegicus (Norway rat)
Lineage: Eukaryota; Metazoa; Chordata; Mammalia; Rodentia; Muridae
Description: uncharacterized LOC102554773
Source: RNAcentral